Molecule: microRNA precursor, 52 nt
Filed under: Loxodonta africana (African savanna elephant)
Lineage: Eukaryota; Metazoa; Chordata; Mammalia; Proboscidea; Elephantidae
Description: mir-1302 microRNA precursor family
Rfam family: mir-1302 microRNA precursor family
Source: Rfam by way of RNAcentral
UUUUUAGUAUAAGUAUGUCCCAUGCAAUAUUUAGGGCAUACUUACAUUAAAA